AUGGACACAAAGAGCACGCUUAAUAAUAACAAACAUACUAAAUUCAUCCGAUACAAAAGGACCAUAGCUCAUGCCAGACAAAAAGGAUCAAAAUCCAUCGCCGACUGCAAACUCAUACUAAAAAUGACUAAAAACAUAGAUAAAACGGAUAAGGGUGGAGGAAAUCACCAUUUCCUCGCAGGCCCCUUCCCCCGGCGUGCGGCGGCCGCACUGAUACGUCCAUUUUGCAUCAUGCUUUUAUAUCGAUAUUUAUUGCAUUAUGGGCUAUUAUUACACAUUAUAGCACAAUACUCAUGUCUUUUCUCUCUUAUUUUACAAGCUUUACAUGAAGAGGGAGAAUGCCGGCAGCUAGAAUUCUGGACUGGAAAAGGAGCAAAUAUUAGAAACCUAUUCUACACAACUCCAAAAGUCCUGAAACUUCACGGAGAGUCAUUUUGA
Molecule: ribosomal RNA, 438 nt
Filed under: Triticum aestivum (bread wheat)
Lineage: Eukaryota; Viridiplantae; Streptophyta; Magnoliopsida; Poales; Poaceae
Description: partial small subunit ribosomal RNA
Source: RNAcentral